This 250-nucleotide ribosomal RNA is filed under the name uncultured bacterium. RNAcentral's name for it is "partial 16S ribosomal RNA". It matches the Rfam family "Bacterial small subunit ribosomal RNA", at positions 355 to 620 of the family's 1533-position model. The record is from RNAcentral.
UCGAGAAUCUUCCGCAAUGCACGAAAGUGUGACGGAGCGACGCCGCGUGAUUGAUGAAGCUCUUCGGAGUGUAAAGAUCUUUUAUAAGGGAGGAAAUUUUGACGUUACCUUAUGAAUAAGGGGCUCCUAAUCUCGUGCCAGCAGGAGCGGUAAUACGAGAGCCUCAAGCGUUAUCCGGAAUUAUUGGGCGUAAAGGGUGCGUAGGUGGUUAUAUUAGUCGCAUGUUAAAGACUCGGGCUUAACUCGAGGA